This 460-nucleotide ribosomal RNA is filed under the name uncultured bacterium. RNAcentral's name for it is "partial 16S ribosomal RNA". It matches the Rfam family "Bacterial small subunit ribosomal RNA", at positions 338 to 795 of the family's 1533-position model. The record is from RNAcentral.
CCUACGGUGAGCAGCAGUGAGGAAUAUUGGUCAAUGGACGCAAGUCUGAACCAGCCAUGCCGCGUGCAGGAAGACGGCUCUAUGAGUUGUAAACUGCUUUUGUACGAGGGUAAACGCAGAUACGCGUAUCUGUCUGAAAGUAUCGUACGAAUAAUGAUCGGCUAACUCAGUCCCAGCAGCCGCGGUAAUACGGAGGAUUCAAGCGUUAUCCGGAUUUAUUGGGUUUAAAGGUUGCGUAGGCGGUCGGAUAAGUUAGAGGUGAAAUCCCGAGGCUCAACUUCGGAAUUGCCUCUGAUACUGUUCGGCUAGAGAGUAGUUGCGGUAGGCGGAAUGUAUGGUGUAGCGGUGAAAUGCUUAGAGAUCAUACAGAACACCGAUUGCGAAGGCAGCUUACCAAGCUACUUCUGACGUUGAGGCACGAAAGCGUGGGGAGCAAACAGGAUUAGAUACCCGAGUAGUC